This 250-nucleotide ribosomal RNA is filed under the name uncultured bacterium. RNAcentral describes it as "partial 16S ribosomal RNA". It matches the Rfam family "Bacterial small subunit ribosomal RNA", at positions 524 to 773 of the family's 1533-position model. The record is from RNAcentral.
UACGUAGGGUGCGAGCGUUAAUCGGAAUUACUGGGCGUAAAGCGUGCGCAGGCGGUUGUGCAAGACAGGUGUGAAAUCCCCGGGCUUAACCUGGGAACUGCGCUUGUGACUGCACGACUAGAGUACGGCAGAGGGGGGUGGAAUUCCUGGUGUAGCAGUGAAAUGCGUAGAUAUCAGGAGGAACAUCGAUGGCGAAGGCAGCCCCCUGGGCCUGUACUGACGCUCAUGCACGAAAGCGUGGGGAGCAAAC